UUAGCGGAUGACCUGUGGCUGGGGGUGAAAGGCCAAUCAAACCGGGAGAUAGCUGGUUCUCCCCGAAAGCUAUUUAGGUAGCGCCUCGUGAAUUCAUCUCCGGGGGUAGAGCACUGUUUCGGCUAGGGGGCCAUCCCGGCUUACCAACCCGAUGCAAACUGCGAAUACCGGAGAAUGUUAUCACGGGAGACACACGGCGGGUGCUAACGUCCGUCGUGAAGAGGGAAACAACCCAGACCGCCAGCUAAGGUCCCAAAGUCAUGGUUAAGUGGGAAACGAUGUGGGAAGGCCCAGACAGCCAGGAUGUUGGCUUAGAAGCAGCCAUCAUUUAAAGAAAGCGUAAUAGCUCACUGGUCGAGUCGGCCUGCGCGGAAGAUGUAACGGGGCUAAACCAUGCACCGAAGCUGCGGCAGCGACACUCAGGUGUUGUUGGGUAGGGGAGCGUUCUGUAAGCCUGUGAAGGUGGCCUGUGAGGGUUGCUGGAGGUAUCAGAAGUGCGAAUGCUGACAUAAGUAACGAUAAAGCGGGUGAAAAGCCCGCUCGCCGGAAGACCAAGGGUUCCUGUCCAACGUUAAUCGGGGCAGGGUGAGUCGACCCCUAAGGCGAGGCCGAAAGGCGUAGUCGAUGGGAAACGGGUUAAUAUUCCCGUACUUGGUGUUACUGCGAAGGGGGGACGGAGAAGGCUAUGUUGGCCGGGCGACGGUUGUCCCGGUUUAAGCGUGUAGGUGUGUGUUCCAGGUAAAUCCGGUUCACUUUAACACUGAGGCGUGAUGACGAGGCACUACGGUGCUGAAGCAACAAAUGCCCUGCUUCCAGGAAAAGCCUCUAAGCAUCAGGUAACAUCAAAUCGUACCCCAAACCGACACAGGUGGUCAGGUAGAGAAUACCAAGGCGCUUGAGAGAACUCGGGUGAAGGAACUAGGCAAAAUGGUGCCGUAACU
RNAcentral lists this ribosomal RNA (941 nucleotides) under Salmonella enterica subsp. enterica serovar Vitkin. RNAcentral's name for it is "partial 23S ribosomal RNA". It matches the Rfam family "Bacterial large subunit ribosomal RNA", at positions 797 to 1735 of the family's 2925-position model. Lineage: Bacteria; Pseudomonadati; Pseudomonadota; Gammaproteobacteria; Enterobacterales; Enterobacteriaceae. The record is from RNAcentral.